GGUGUGAAGACAAGAUAAGAGAGUAAUAACAGCCCUCCAGUAACCAGGGCUAAUAGGGAGACAAACGUUUUCUCCAGUAAAUUCACAUUUUCUCUCCUGGCUGAUCAGAUAGCUAAACAAUAAAGGUCGCCAACAUGGCUGUGGCUCAAUGUGACUUUUUUCUUAUCUCUCUCCGCGUACAAUACAGGAGGCAAAACUUGAUUCGCUGUAGAUGGCAACGGACUCCAAGAACGGUAUUUAAAGCAGUUCUUUACCUGUCUAACUUUUAUCACACUUUAAAAGUAUUGAAUUAUUAUAAAACCAAUGAUGUAACCACCCCCUACAUUUAUCUGCCACCAACCUGUCAUCAAUUGUUUAUUCGUCAUAAUUUCACAAUGAGAUGAUCAAUCAAAAAUACGGAUUUGACUUUAGUGGGCUUCAAUACUGCUGUGUCUCUUUGUGAGGGUUUUGACCAGGAUUUUGGAGACACAUUCUGCAGAUGAGUUCAGCCACAUUUUUAAACUUGUUACCAUGGAGAAGGGAAUUAAAUACUCCAAACCUUCCCCACAUGCUCCACUCACUCUGUUAAGAUCUAUUGACAAACCUCAUGCAUGUUCCCAGCUGAUGCAGCAGGUCAGGUGGGUGUUGAACCUAUAUUUGUGUUGAGCCAUAAAAGAAGUGUACGAAAAUGCCCUGUGGAUGAAGCUGUGUGAAUUUAUAGCUGAAGUACACAAUGUCUAAAAUGCCUACCUUGCUUACAUUUACAAGUUAGCUCACUGUAACACUUUCACUUAUUUUUCAGAGAAAGUGUGAAAUCUUUGCAGGUUUCAUACAGAGGCGAUGGAAAGGUUGCAGGAGUAAGAGGGAAGUAGAAAAUCUUGUAAUGUAAAAGGAGCAUGUUGAUGUCAUUGUGGCCACAUAAGGGGGUUUCGAUGAUGCUCAUAAUUAAAGACUUGGAGAACAGUGGUUAUACAAUAAGCUGGCUCGCAGUUGAAGGUGUUGUGUUGCAUUUCUAUCAAUCUCUCUGCUCACCUCCCUCAGAGCACUGCUGCUCUCUGCUGUUUCUGGAGCCGGCUGUUAUGUAAAUGUGCAGUCACUUUGUUUUCUGUGAGAAAUCACUGAUUGAUGUUCAGAUUCCCUUGACUGACGGUCAGGAUGUGAUAAAGAUUGUUUCUGGUAUGCUGUAGAGAUGGAAAAACUGAAAACAUGUGGACACUUGGAUGAGAUGUGUGGGCUGAUGUGCCUAGGGGAUUGAGAAGAAAGAGCCAGAGGUCAAAGAUAAUCCAUCAGAUAGUGACUGAAUCAUAGUAUGUUUGAUACAUCGAUGGUACAUCUUUGAUUAAAACAAAAAAACAAACAAAAAAACAUUUUUUAAAAUUUUUCUCUGGCAUUCUAAAAACACGCAAAUAAGAUUGGAAUGUUUUUUUUCUGGAGACAUUUUGACUGAAUUAAGGGAAAAAAAAUCACAAAAUGUUCUUAAGCUGGUCGUUCUCUGCAAUGCAGCCACUUGUCUUGGCUGCAGUGAUGAAGCACUAUGAUGGCUGCUGCCUACAACAACACUUCAGCAAAGCUCAAACUCACAUUAGUCAAUGUGAACAAAAAAUGUCUGCUGCCAAAUGAUAAAAAACCCGCAAUUUAAUCAAGUAUUGACAGAGUGAAAGAGCACACAGAGAGGAUGUGGAGUGACUCUUGGACAAAUGUUUAAUUUCCUUUGAGAAAUGUCUUAAAAUGAAACUGUGGAGUGGCUCCACAAGGACAGAGUUGGUUCAGCAUUGAAAAAAAGUCAUCGGACAUUGAAAGAGUCCUAGACAAACCCCCUGAAACAAUAAGGACUCUUUCUGCCUGCAGAAACACAGCAGCUCUACAGCAUCACCAGCUUCUAACAAACCUCUGAAAAAAGAUGGAGGCUUCCUUCCUGAAAUACAUCUGCUACAGUUGCUCUCGGGCUCUGUAGCUGUACAGUGGGCGGUGAGAGCCCUUAUGUUCCCCGGGAGAAUAUUGCUUGAGUAACUCUGAGAAGUCACUAUCAUGCACUAUCAUAGGGGAUAUUUCAGUUUUCCUUAUAGUAUAUUGAGAGGUCCUCAAAACAAUGAUUUUAACCCAUGGGGAUCUAUUUUCGUGUCCGCCGGGGAUGUGGCGGAGGUUGGCGGACCCUGCGCAGUGGUAUUUUCAUCUGGCGGAGCCUAGCAUACAGCCAGUUUGGUAUUUUCAUAGACUGAGGUGCUGGGCGUGGUGGCAUGGCAGGGGGAGGUGUCGACGGAAUCAGCUGGCGCAGUGACAUUUUUGUGCUUGCCGGUGGCGUGUAAAGUGCGCUGAAAGCUCGCCGAUUCAAACCUGGUCAGCUUUCAGCGCAGGUGGAGCGCAGCUGGUCUAGCGGUAUUUUGGUGGACCUGCGGAGUAUCGACAUACGUCACCGAUGCCUCACUGGCAAGUUUCCACAGCGUCAGGCACAUUUCAGUGCAAUAAAUAAUCAACAACAACUAAUAAUCUGAGUCAGCACAUACAUUUAGAUCUAUAUUGAUAUUUUGAUCUAUAUCUGAUCUGAUGAGCGCGUUUGGCACGCGUUUGGACACACAACCUGACCGAAUCAACACAGCUGAAACCGCAUUAAAUAAAAUUAAAUAUCUAGUAAAUAAACACACAUGAUGAAGUUAACAAGAUAUUUAAUUUGUCUCCCUCCUUUUCUUUCUUCCUAUUUCUUCUUUUUCUCCUAUUUCUCGUGCAGCUCGACCUGGACGUGUCUCUGUGUCCUCUCCCUGUCCUGCGGCGGCUGGACAGAUGAUUUGUUUUAGUGAUCAGAUGAAUUAUUUACUUUAAGCCGAAUACAGUAUACAAGUAUUAUAAUAUUCAGUUUUGUGAGCCAAAUUUAAUUUUAUAUGCCAACAUCUAUGAAAGAAAGAGCCAGGCCACAGAGUGCGAUGUGUCAUUUACACACAGGCGGUUGCAAUUUCAAUGCCAUUAUUGUAAUUUAUGUUGUGAUCUGUGUGCACAACCCACCAAGGAUGUUUGUCUUACCAGUGGGUCCAACAUUACACACAUCAAAUCCAUAUGUGCUUAUUUGAGAGAGUUUAAAGGACGCCCUCUGCAGCGCUUACAGAGACACUUGUUGAGGGGCUGCCUUCUGUCGCCAUCGUGUGGCAUUACUGUCUUCAGACAUCUCUUGAUCUCUUUGACUACUUCACGAAAAUUGUAAUACGCCUCGCCAGUGGCGGAUUCAAAGGUGAGGAGAGGAGCUGAUGUUAUUGGUCAAUACAGGUCUCAGCUGUGUUAAACCCACUCUAUGCCCUCUCUCCUCCCGCGCUACGACUUAUGCCGCUGGGAGGAGCUUAGUUAGGGAGGGGGGAUACUUACGCCGGGCUGCGCCGUUCACCAAAAUACCAAAAUGUGCUUGGGAACGCCUCAUCGGCGCAGCGGACCUGACUUACGCCGCCCCUGCACCACGUCUCCGUCGAAGGACGAAAAUAGAGCCCUUAUUGUUAGGGAAGGAGGACACCCUGAGGGAAAUGUCAUGUUUGAGAAGUGUGUAGUGCAAACUAUAAUGCAUUUCAUCACACUUAUCUGAUGCAAAAUAAAGAAAUGCAGCAAAUGGUGAAACCAACAUGUUCUUGCUCAUAAUGCUGCAGUCACAGCAAGGCAAUUAGAAAACCUUGGCCCCUGUGUUUGAUGUGAAUUUAAAUCUCUAGGAUUUAGAUAAUUCCAUGGCUAAUAAUCCCCAAAUUGUGCUGUCUUAAAUUUAUGUCUACUCAUUUGUUACAUUUUUGUUUACCGGGGCAACAAUUACUGCGAGCACAGUUUGACAUCUUAUUGUGGCAUCUGAAAUAAAAAAAGCAAGCACACGCUUACACAGCUGCUCUUAUAAGACUCACAGUUUUUUUGUUGUUGUUGCCAACUGUAAUGACUCAUCAUUUAUCUGUAAACAAAACUUGUAUGACAUUUAAUGAUGUUACAAAGACAAGCUUCAAGCAAAACUAAAAAUGUAAUUUCAUAGUAGACUGCUUAUAAAGAGCUCAUACUCCAUGCAGGGUGUCUGGCUAAGUUCAUUAGGUGAUAGCAGGGGGUGCACUAUUUGAAAGCCUCCUAUCUGGGGAGAAAGCACUCAGAGCUUCUACUUAAAUAACAGUAAUAAUAGCCGAGAUAAAAAUACCCCACCCAGUGUCAGAGUAAUGCGUUCAAAAUUUUACUGAAGCAGAAGCACAAUCUAUUGUAUAUUAGACCGUAUUAAGAGUACCUGAAAUGUUUGUUGGCUUUUAUCCAUUAUUGUACAUGAAGUCGCUUAGCACUCACUCAAACUGUGACAAAUAGCCCCAUCCAGCUUACCAAAACACACAUUUAACUCACUGAUACAUCAGUGAUCUUUCAGGGAGGUGGGGUCAAUAGCAGAAAUUUGAGGCACGCAUGUUAGGCCUAAGAAGAUAUGAUGAUUCCCAUGUUUGGUAUGUUCCUCUCACAGACUGGAAUGGACGCCAUCUGCCUCCUUGCUGGGUGAAGCCAUCGUGAGAACAGCACCCUCUGGUGACGGGCUGCAGUAUAGUUCAUAAAUCCCACCUCCUUCAGCAAUCCCUAUGAAGCUGUAGACAAAUUUUGGAAAUUAAUUACACAGAAUGUAUUUUUUUCUCUCCCCUGCUUAUGAUGUUGACAUGUAGUUACUGUAAGACUGGUUUGUGCUCAAGUCCUCUUUUUUCUGUGCAGCUCCAUUUUUAAAAGUUGUUAGGGGGUUCACAUUUUCUAUGAUUGACAUUUGAUACAGCCUAUGGGUGUACGAAGAUUGCGUAGCUCACGCUGGGGAUAUACUGUUUGAGCCGGGCGCCGAAUGCGUACAAUGCUUCUGCACAAGAGGUGGUUCCAAGAAGUGGCAAAAAUCCCAGAAAUACCAAGAACAAUUCAGCUUCAAAUUCAUGUAAUGAUGGAAGGAAGAGCCAAGUAUAUCCAUAGUAUAUACACUCUAUAGUUCCUCCUCUGCUAAUCUGAAACAAAAGGUUGCAGGAGCUGUCUAUCAGUUAUAAUUUCAUAUCUAAAUAACCAAUUAGAACUAAACUCACCAGAAAGAAUUUCGACAACAACAGAGACUACAUUUUCAGAGAUAUUCAUCUAAAGUCUGUUUUAAACUUGUAGUUUGACCAAUGUCCCGUCUGUUGACAUGAAAAAGGUAAGGCUAUGACCCAUACUGCAGCCAGUCAGCAGGGGGAGUUCUAAAUCUUUUGGCUUUACAGUUAAUGAACACAUGUCUGAUUUAUUUUGAUGUGCUCACACAUGGUUCAUGUCUGUAUUACAAAGGCAGAACUGUGGGGCAAAGUCAGUCCACCUUUGACUCACUGUGGGAGCUGGGAACAGAGGCACAAUGGGGGGGAUGGUUAGCAUGUCACAAUGCGUAGUAUUGGAGUCAACAAUACAAAAUAAUAGGGUUGUGUGUGUAUGUGCAUGUCUGAGUGUGAGCGCAUGUGGCGCUCCUGCUGUGUGUUUGCACGCUGUGCCUCUCGCGCUUCCACAAUACUGUACUGGAAUGUGAAAUCACAGAGUGGUGCACCAAUAUUACACCACAACGGAGGUCAGUGUGAAGAACAUAGGCGUGACAAGUUUUGCUAAAUGAGAAUGACAACUUUUAAAAAAGUGUUUGUGUAGGGACAACAACAACAACUCCAAAAGUAAAAGCUACCACUCCACAUGAAGAACUUUCCAUCUGUAUGUUAGAGGAGGAACAGUGAGGAGAGUGACCCCCUUCAAGUUUUUGGACACACAAGCUGUAUCUUUCAGGGCUUCAUGUGGAUUUCAAACACUGUGUCUCUGCUGAAGAAGGCUCAGCGGCAUCUCUCCUUCCUGAGGGCAUUAAGAAAAACGAACCUGUCUCAGCAUCAGCAUCUGUCCUUCUACCACCACUCCAUCAAAAGCAUAAUCACCCACGGCAUCCUGGUGUGGUAUGCUCACUGCACCAUAGCUGAGAACAAAAAAACGCUGCCAAGAGUUAUCAACUCAGCACAGAGGACAACUGACACACAGCCCCAUUCUCCUGAAGACAUUUACAAAACCUGAUGUGCACACCAAGCCAAUAAGACUCAUCACACCCUAGGAAUCACCUGUUGCCUGCUGAAAGGCAAAACCCCUCUAUAAAGACCCACACUGCAGUUUCACUCUGGAUGUCUCCAAAAAGCUGAACUUGAUUCCAAAAGUUUUAAGGUCAUGUAAAUAUUUACUCCAAGGCUAUACACAAAAGAGGAGCAACAACUCGUGACUUCUCUUUGGACAGUGCAGUAUUGGCUGUAAAUCUUUUGUUAUUUAUUGCCUGUGUUUAUGUUUUAAUGUGCUGAAUGAUGCUGCUGUAUAUUGUAUAAUGUGUGCCAAUUAUUUGAUUUAAAGCAAUGCAUUCCUUUGCAUUUACCCUGAUCCAACGUACAGGCAGAAUAAUAGAGGCUGGCAGUCAGAGGAAAAUCUUACUGCACAGUGUUGACAGGCUGUGCUGUCAGUGUGAUGAGGGAGCUGUAGAGACAGAAUUACACCUUCUAACAGAAUGUCAGGACUACAAAAAAUAUUAGACAGGUGUUCUCUCCAAAGUAAAAGUCCAAAAAAAGUGGCAUCAACCCCUUUCUCUGUCUUUUCUGGCUACAGGAGAAUGGUCAGAGACAGAUAAAAGACUAUUAACUGUGAUUUGGCAUCACAUUUGUGAUUUUAGGAAAAUAACCACACUUACUGAAAGUGAAUUAUAAUGUGAUAGAACAAAAACAUGCACUGGUCUCAGGUUAACCUCUGUCUAGCUGCAGGUCCUGUAGGCGUAUCAGGCAAAUGUUUAAUUUGACUAAGAUGGAGACAAGCUGGAGGUUUAAACUGCAAGAUGUUUUAUUUUUGUUCACAUGAUUAAUCAUUGUCUAUUCACUAUCUGACACACAGACGUGUUCAUAGGAAAACGUACAUACGAGGACUGUGGAGUGUGAAAUAUUCAUGCACUGUCUGGGCCGAUAAACUGUCAAAAUCAGACUGAAGGUUCAGUCAAGUGUUACGAAAAUUCGUCAGCGAGGAAUAAGAGGUUAAAGUGGGGAUGUAACUGUAUUGAGCAUGUUUUUGCACGCUCUUAUCUGGAGUCUUAAAUGGGCAGAUUUCUGAAAUAAAGCAGUAAUAUCUGGUUUAAUGAAUUCAUGAGAUGGAGGAAGAAAAGUUUUGUGCAUGCGCUGCUUUCGCCCAGCUUGUGCUUCCUGCCAGAGAGCGAAAGCCCACUUUGGAAGCGGAUCUGGCUUCAUCAGGGUAUUCAUGACAAGUCUUACUGAUUUUCUGUCACCUUCAAAACUGUUCCAUCUUUCACUGACAGGCAAAGUCUUCACCUAAUGUCGUCAAACUGCUUCUAAUCAUAGUACCAUCUUAUUACUGUGCCAUUGUCAUGCUGUACAGAAGCUGCUUACUCUCACUAAGGUUUCAUGUCUAUUCUGUGAUUCAAAAAGACACAAUUAGGAUUGCUCAGUGACUCAGUGGAGUCAACCUUGUUGUUGCUAAUUAGUUUUUCCUUAUCUCGACAUUUGUGAAGAUUACAGAGCAAAAUUAAUGAGUUACAACCAUAGUUUAGUGGUCUGUGUGUUACCGAUUUGAAGUCCAUAAAAUCAGCCAGUUUAAUGUUUUACAGCUAAUGAAUGAUUAUCUGUUUCAAAUAAAACACCAGCUGUAGAAUCAGAAUUGUUAAUGCUUAGUGGUAAAUUGGACAAAUGUUUUAUUCAGAUUUAAGAACCAUCAAUGACCGCAAAAUGUAUCAACUACAUUCGUAAUUGUUCCCCUUCCACCACACUUGAUACCAGCAUUAAACACUGUAUAGAUGUUCUUUAUCAAAAACACUUGGUCUUGAUGUUAUUAAGGCUCGCAUCAGUAAAAUAAAGCUACAAUACUGCCUUGUGUCAUGUCUCAAGUUUCCUUUAUUUUUGCUCAUAAAUGUUUCAUGUCAUGUCCUUCCUGUUUUAUUUUGAAGUCACUAACCCUUGUCUCUAUCUCAGAUCUGUACCUGUCUGCCCUGCCUCUGUCUUGUCACACCUGCUGCCUCCUGAUUGUCUUUCCUUACCUGUUUCCCAUCACCCUUAUUACCUCUUGUAUUUAACCUCAUGUCUCUCACUGUCUUGUCACUGGUUUGUUGUAUCUCACAGGGCUCUAUUUUCGUGUACGCUGGUGAGGCGACGGAGGGUGGCAGUUGUAUUUUCGUCUGGCGGAGCCCGGCGUACAGCCAGUUUGGUAUUUUCGUGGACUGAGGUGUACGGAGGCGAGCCGAGAUCCGCCAAGCUGGGCAUGGUGGCGUGGUAGGGGGAGGUGUCGACAAAAUCAGCGGGCACAGUGGCAUUUUCGUGCUCGCCAGUGGCGUGUCAAGUGCGCUGAAAGCUCGCCGAUUCAUACCUGGUCAGCUUUCAGCGCAGGCGGAGCGCAGCAGGUCUAGUGGUAUUUUGGUAGACCGGCGGCUUAUCGGCAUACGUCACCGAUGCCUCAUCGGCAGGUUUCCACAGUGUCAGGCACAUUUCAGUGCAAUAAAUAAUCAUCAACAACUAAUAAUCUGAGUCAGCACAUAUAUUUAGAUCUAUAUAGAUAUAUUCUGAUCUAUAUCUGAUCUGAUGAGCGCGUUUGGCACGCGUUUGGACACAACCUGACCAAAUCAACACAGCUAAAACCGCAUCAAAUUAAAUUAAAUAUCUAGUAAAUAGAAACACAUGAUGAAGUUAACAAGAUAUGUGAUUCGUCUCCCUCCUUUUCUUUCUUCCUCUUCCUCUUAUUUCUCGCACAGCUCGACCUGGACACAUCUCCGUGUCCUCUCUCCGUCCUGCAGCGGCUGAACAGAUGAUUUGUUUCAGUGAUCAGAUGAGUUAAUUACUUUAAGCCUACAUACGGAUAUUAUGAUAUUCAGUUUUUUGGGCCAAAUUUAUUUUUUAUGCCAGCAUCUAUGAAAGAAAGAGCCAGGCCACGGAGCGCGAUGCGUCAUUUAUGCACAGAUGGUUCCGAUUCUAAUGCCAUUUUUGGAGUUUAUGUUGUGAUCUGUGCGCACAACCCACCUUUGUCACGUGAGGUUUGAAUAUAUGCAACUUUAUGUGAGCAUUACUGUCUUCAGACAUCUCUUGAUCUCUUUGACUACUUCAUGAAAAUAGUAAUACGCCUCGCCUGUGGCGGAUUUAAAGGCAAGGAGAGGAGCUUAUGUGAUUGGUGAAAACAGGUCUCGGCUGUGUUAAACCCACUCCACGCCCUUUCUCCUCCCUUGCUACGACUUAUGCCGCUGGGAGGAGCUCAGUUAGGGAGGGGGGAUACCUACACCGGGCUGCGCUGCUCACCAAAAUACCAAAUUGUGCUUGGGAACGCCUUGUCAACGCGGCAGACCUGACUUUCACCGCGCCUGCGGCCAUCUCCGGCGAGGCACGAAAAUAGAGCCCACAGUCUUCUUUUCAACACUCUUCACAGUCGCAGUCAUAGUCUUGUCGUGUUUGAACCUUGCUUACCUUUUUUGAUCUUGCCUCACGUUUUUGGAUCCUGCUGCCUGACCUGACUGCCUUCAUCUGUACCAACCUUUUUGCCUGUUUUUGGAGUAAACCUUUAACCUUUUGACCUACUAACCUGGUGACAUGCGUUCAAGUCUGCCCUUCCUGUGCCUUAGUUCAUGACACAACAAAGUGGCCAGAAUGGACGCAGCAGACACUAGCUACAUUUACAAAGGCAAAAAUAUUUGAUCCAAUUAAAAAUUUGAGGGAUCAGAAAACUUGAAUCCACUGUGUAUAUGGGUGCAAAAUCAAAUAAUCCGAUCAUGAUGUGCGUAUACAUUAAAGUUUUAUUCAGAUUAGAAGCAUUUGUAUUUAUGCCUGUGCUGUCGACAAACCAACAAACACGGCAGUGGCUCACUCCAUCAAAUUAAGGAUUUUUCCCCUGGUAAAUGUUGUCACUAGAUGGCGCCCUUGCUUACUUAUUUUACUGUUCUGUCAAAGGUUGCACUGUGUAUGCAGAUAUGACAUUACGCUGUAUAUACGCCUUGUUAUGUUAUUGGAGGAGUAGACACGGUACCUGCUAUUGUGUUUUCUGCCGGAGAGUUAAUAAUUAAACCUCCUGUACUGAUCUCAAUAAAUAAGCCAAAGGCUGAAGAGUGAAGAUUGAGUCAGGUUAGACAGUCACAAUCGGAAUAAGUGUUUACAUGGACGCUUUUCAGAAUAAUGAUCGGCAUAAACCACCCUUCUUGAUCGGAAUAAAAUAUCUUUCCAGUUGAGCCAAAUUGGAUCGUAUUCUUCCGACUGACAUGUUUACAUGACACAUUUUUAUCCCGAUCAGCCAUUUCUUCUGGUUGUUUGUGCCCAUGUAAAUGCAGCAACUGAUCUGACUUUGGUUCUAAUGCUCACUUAAUACAUCUAUCUCUCGUCAGGAAUUUCCACCUGAAGCUGUACUGCCCCUGGUUCCCCUCGAGGUUAAGGCUAUAGAUGCAGUCUUUAGGGCAGGGUCAUGCACCAGUCACAGUCAGUCAAAGUAACCUUUGCUGACCCUCAUACUGAGUCCCUUAGUUUUCAUGUUUUUAAUGCUGUGUCUCAUCAGGCUAUAGUAGGGCAGCCUUGGCUUAAGAAACACAACCCAAACUUUGACUGGGCUAACAGCCAAAUCAUUACACAGAGACAGAGACAUGGGUGCGGUAGUGGGGGGAAAAGUGGACAUGACUACCUAGGGCCUGAGUAGGGAAAGGGGCCCAUGAAAAUCCUGUUUUUUUGUUUUUGUGAUGUAUUUUUUUAAAAUGAAUUGGACCCUCCAAUGAAUUGGUGUCAUAACUUGUUUCAAGAAUAUUGAUAACAUCAACUGAGAGAAUGAACUUUAGGUCACAGUCCUCCCAACAUGGAGGACAUUCUGGGGGGCCUCCUCUUGGAAGCGCAAAAUGGUUUAGUCCGCCUGAUAGCGACUGGUGACAAGUGUAACAUCAGUGAGCCCAGAUUGAAUGACACAGGGUCAGGGCCCAAAAUUUGGUGCUAUGCCCCUGCACAGAGACAUGAUUAUUUAAAUAAACAGUCAGAAAUAAUAAUAAAAAAGAAAAGAACCCCCUGCUCUUCCCAGUCAUGGCCCAGCUAAUGUCCCUUCAAGUUAUUAUGAUCUGGCAGAGGUGUUUAACAAGGUUAAAGCUCAAUGUUUGCUGCCUCAUCGCCCUUAUGACUGCUUCAUUCACUUCCUGCCUGCUAUCCAGCAUGUCUGCUUAGUACUACAACAGUUACCAACUGUAGGCUAUUUCAAAGUAGAGAAAUGCUAGUUCCAGUCCUUCCUGGGGUAUGUGCUUGCUGAGGAGGAGGUCAGGAUGGACCCUGAGAAGGUCUUAGAGCAUGGAGAGGCCCACUCUGUCAUUGCUGUCAAGGAGGUUCAAAGGAUUUGAGAUUUUAAUGAUUUUUUAAAAUAAAAAAAUCACAAAUAUUAUCAGCUCAAAAGCUGAAAGCAUGAGACCUUGUCUAUACCUGCAAAUGUAAAUCCAAUCACCAGUUCCUUCUUGUCACCAUGCAAGUAAUGCAAAAGUCAGCUGAUCUGCCACACAGAUUCUGCAGGUCUACGCAACACUAUGAAACUGCUGUGUUGUUUGUUGUAUUCUAGCCAAGCCAGAAUUUCUACAUAAUUCAGGAAAAAACAGAGGGUUAUGUCAGUAAGGCCUUCUCACUAAGAAUUUCAUGUUUUAUUCAGUGUUAUUUUGUGCAACACAUUGUGUUUGUCUUUGUCUUGUUGAAAAGAUUUGAAUCUAACCAAAUCAAUAAAAAGAAAUGUUCUCAAGCUGCUCAUAUUUUAGAGUCAUUUAAUUUUUCUAACUAGUACAACAAAGAUAAUUGAGAACAUUUGAGGUAAUCAAGAUGAAUCACACAAUAAAAAAUUUUCUCAACAGCCAGAUCUCAGGCAUGUAUGUAAAACAACGGUUUAUCCACUUACCUUUCUAGUGGAGAGGAGGUACUUUUUACAUUCAUCACACCAGGGAAUCUAGCAGCUGUAUUUGAUUAGGGAGGAUGUUUAACUCAGAAAAAAAAAUUCAAGGCCAACCUUUUUUUCUUUCUCUCAACAGUAUCACGGUGCAAAAAUCAGGCACAUUUUAUCUCAGAAUUAUACAGAAAAACUUCAAGUCCACACCUCCAUUACCCAUAAACUGGAUUGUUAGAAUGCCCUAAAAACUCCAUAAUAAUCCCUCAGCUGGUCCAAAAUGCUGUUAUCUUCUGUAUUAGCUUCUCUGCACCAGCUCUGUAAAGUAGCUAUACAAUUGAAUUUAAAACCUUUCUUUUCACCUAAAGAGCUCUGAAUGGUCAGGGACCAUCAUAUACCAAUGAGCUCACCAUGGCCUAUUACCUUUUACAUCACUGUGCUCACAGAAGCAGGUCUGCUUGUCUCCAAGAGUGGUCUAGGCAGCAGAGACAUCAAUAAUCAGGCUCCUCUUCUCUGGGAAAUCUACCAGUUUGGGUGAGGCAGCCAAACAUCCUCUGCCUUUGACCUAGUGGGCUUAAAAUGUCCCUUUCUGAUAAAGCAUUUAGUCGGGUGUUGGUGCAUUAAUAUUGGGUCUCUGUCAAUGUAAUUACAAAGAAUCAGAGUGCACAGGCACUUUAGCUGUCCUCCAUAAAAUUUGCUUUCUAGUGGUCAGGAAAUCAAGAAUUACUAAGUACCACUUGCUAAACUUGCUUUCAUGGGUGCCAUGCAAUUACUUGUGUUGUAACUUUGUCCAGGUUUGGAUGACAAACUGGUCAAUUUGUUCUGUUCUCUGUCUGCAGGAUACUAUAAAAGCCCUUUUCACCUAUGUCACAGUUUCACAUUUUUCAAUGAAGCACAUCUUUAGUAGACACAAGAGCAAACUCCAAGCCAUGUCCUGAAGACUAUACCAUACAAUAUACCAUACAAGAACUUAAUUGAUCCCCAAAGGUAAAUUCAUUUGUCUGGAAUCUCAUCUCAUCUACUAUUUAUAGAAGAAUCAGUCUGAUGGCUGUGGGUACAAAAAUUCCUCUGAUUCUCUCCAUUAGUCUUUUUCGUCCAUCAAGGUGUUAUGAAGAGGAUGAACUUAAUUCCUAUCACAGAGCCAGCUUUUUCACCAGUUGUCACCAUGUUAGUCUGUAUGCUAGGGAUUGUUUUAUGGAGAACAUUACACAGAACUCCAGCCUUUGCCUUGGGUGGGAUGUGAAAAAAUAUUGAUAUGAUAUAACUGACCUCCUUUGGAACAUAAGAUAGCUGAAGAGCAACAGCCAACAGUUCAAUAUCUCGACAAAAUAACUUCUCCUUGACAGUUAUGUGUGAAGGGUUACACCAUCUCUGGUUGACAAAUAAAGCCAGACCUCCUCCUUUCUUCUUACCACUAGCUUGAGCAUCUCUGUUUGACCUUAUGAGAGUGAAGCAAGGUAGAUUUGACAUUUCCCAAGAUGGCUGAUAGAAGACAGGUUUAAAUCUCCAUUUGCAAGCCUUCAACUUUGUCUUCAACCACAAAAACACUUCCAGGGGCCCUAUUUUCGUGCCCGCCAGCGGCGCGGCAGAGGAUGGCGGACCCCAUGCGGUAGUAUUUUCGUCUGGCGGAGCCCGGUGUACAGCCCGUUUGGUAUUUUCAUAGACUGACGCGCACCGAGGUCUGCCAAGCUGGGUGUGGUGGCGACAGAAUCAGCUGGUGCAGUGACAGUUUCGUGCUCGCCGGCGGCAUAGAAAAUGCGCUGAAAGCUCACCGAUUCAAACCUGGUCAGCCUUCAGCGCAGGCGGCGCUGGUCUAGUGGUAUUUUGGUGGACCUGUGGCGUAUCAGCAUACGUCACCUAUGCCUCACCGGCAGGUGAGAUAUUUAAUUUGUCUCCCCCCAUUCCUAUCUUCCUCUUCCUCUUAUUUCUCAUGCAGCUUGACCUGGACAUGUCUCUGUGUCCUCCCCCCGUCCUGCUGCAGCUGCUGCUGCCGCAGCUGAACAUAUGAUUUGUUUCAGUGAUCAGAUGAGUUAUUUACUUUAAGCCGACAUACGAAUAUUAUAAUAUUCGGUUUUGUGAGCCAAAUUUAUUUUAUAUGCCAACAUCUAUGAAAGAAAGAGCCAGGCCAUGGAGAGCGAUGCGUCAUGGUUCCGAUUUUAGUGCCAUUAUUGGAAUUAAUGAUGUGAUCUGUGCGCACAACCCACCUUUGUUACAUGAGGUUUGAAUAUGUGCAACUUUAUGUGAGUGUCUUUAUUUGUGGAAAAGAUUGUUUGUCUUACCAGUAGGUCUAACAUUACACACUCCAAAUCCAUCUGUGCUGAUAUGAGAGUGUGGAGGACGCCCUCUGCAGCGCUUACAGUGACACUUGUUGAAGGGCUGCCUUCUGUCGCCAUCGUGUGGCAUUGCUGUCUUCAGACAUCUCUUGAUCUCUUUGACAACUCACAUGGACUACUACCACGAAAAUUGUAAUAUGCCUUGCCAGUGGCAGAUUUAAAGGUGAGGAGAGUAGCUGAUCUGAUUGGCGAAAACAGGUCUCGGCUGUGUUAAACCCACUCCGUGCCCUUUCUACGACUUACGCCGGAGGAGCUGAGUAAGGGAGGGGGGAUACUUACGCCGGGCUGCGCCACUCACCAAAAUACCAAAAUGUGCUUGGGAAUGCCUUGUCGAUGCGGUGGACGUAACUUACGCCACGCCUUCGCUACGCCACUGGUGAGGAAAGAAAAUAGAGCCCCAGAUGUCCUCUGGAAUUGGAUGUUGUUGUCCAGAUUUGCUCUGCCUCAAUGAAAGAAGCUCUUCUCUUGAAUAAACUCUUCUCCCAGCAGAAAUAUACAUAAGAAGUUGUCAAAAUAUGAUAAAAAUAUGAAGUAAAAAUUGCAGAAAAUUCAGAGACCAGACCUUGCUGCCUCUUGAUGGGGCACAGGUUUUAGAAUGAGAGGUAUGGUGGAUAUUUGAACUUAGAUAUACCAUCUAGCCACUGUCAUGUGCUGUAAGAAAAACUUCAAGAACCAAACAUGAGUACUCCACAGUUAUUUUCUGUUACUUUCAUCAGCCUGUUGGCGUCUCUUUCAUUCCUCCAGCUUUUAUCUGUUUGAUGUCAAGUUGUAGUUGGGUGUACACAUAGUAUCAGAUCAGUAAAACGCGCUUAAGUUGUGAUGACACCCCUACUGAGAUGCCAGCCUCUCAUAUGUCACAGCACAGCUCUGGUGGUUAUUGGGGCCCAUUUGAAUCAUCAGAGCAUGUGUGCGAGUGUGUGCCUCAUGUCAGAUCUGAUCUGCAUGUGGAUUUUUUUAAAGAGAAGCCUGAGGGAUAUUUAUUCUCUAAGCUUGCAGAUGUUUCACUCACUGUACUUUUUUUUUUCACACUCACACAGGCACGCAUGCACACGCACGUACACACAAACACACACACAUUUACACUUCUACAGCAGGGCUUCAAUGGCUUGAACUGCAAUAGAAGAACUAUACUUGAGGCCUGAGGUUGACAGAUUACCCAUAAGAGCACUAAAAUAAUCAUUUUUCUGUUUCGCUGAACCACAGUCCACUAUUUCAAAAACAAAUCAGCUCUUUCACCACCUACACAAUUGCAUAUCAAGAGCAUCAAAAAUAAUUUGAACAAAUGUUCUGUCCAGAGUGUGGGAACAGUAGUAAAGGUAGACAACACUAAGCACUUUGGGUCAUACUUGUAUAGCAAGAGUAGUGUGUUUUCCACCAUCAGCAGCAAUGAGUCAUUUGAAGAGACAGAUGGAAGGCUUAUUUAAUGCCAUCACGAUAUGAUCAUUGACUAAUUAUAUACAGCACGCUGCUUUGCAGGAAAAAAAGGGCUUUGUUUUAGCUGAGCUGCAAAGAUGUUGAUCCUUUCCUGAGGGCUGAACAACCUGCGCUCAAAUCAUUGUGUUCCCCUGGCAAUCAUUUACAUACAUUUAAAAGCAGAUUUCAAUUAACAAUAACUCUCAGGCUUUGGUAUCUGCCACCCCGAGAGGUCUGCUCUUUACGGAUCACAUUGGGACUUUAUUCUAUUAUUCCUGAAUGAACUCCCUCUGUAAAUAGGUCCCCAAUGAUUUCACAACAUAUUUUUCUGUUUCAGUUGUAAUUAAAUGAUUUUUUGGAAAUAACACUUUAACAUUUCCCUAGAUGCUUUAUCUGAUUUUGAUAGAUGAAGCUAUUAAUUUGCCACGCGCCCUAUCUUUAACAAACAAAUCUUUGCAAAGAAAAAAAUACUGGUCACUAUCUCCUAAUCCAGUUUCAAAAGGUCAUGUUGAACUCAAACAUUUGCACUGUGCUUCAGGGACUAGAGCGCUGAUAUGAAAUACAACCUAUUUGAAUAUCUCUGCAUGAGCAGCCUCAGUUCUCAGGAACAUCUUACACAACACCACCACGACCACAAACCACAGCUUUGGAAAAUAACCGAAAGCUGAAUCAUCUCACUGUUGCCCAGUCUUGACAAAAAAGCAAAACUGAAACUGUGAAAGCUUCAAAGUCCAAACCCCAAUUCCAGUAAAGCUGGGACAUUGUGUAAAACAUGAAUAAAAACAGAAAACAAUGAUUUACUAAUCCUUUCCCACUGCUAUUCAGUCAAAAACGCUACAAAGACAAGAUAUUUCAUGUUCAAACUGAUGAACUUGUCUGGUUGUUGUAAAUAUUCACUCAUUUUGAAUUUGAUGCUCUAAAAUAUUCCCAAAAAGUUGAUACAGGGUCAACAAAAGUCUUGGAAAAUUCAGGACUACUCUCAAAACCCCUGUGUGGAUCAUUCCACAGGUGAACAGGUUCAAUGGAAGCAGGUGAGGGUCAUGAUUGGAUAUAAAAGGAGCAUCAAAUAGUUCAACAGUUAAAGAACGUUUUGUAGAACUGCAGGAAUUUAGAGAUUUGAUCAUCUACAGUCCAUAAAAUCAUCAAUAGAUUCAGAGAAAUCUCUGCAUGUAAGCAGCACGGCCCAGAACCAACACUUCGACCAUGGUCAUGUGGUCAUGUGACCGUGACCACAGUCACAUGACCGUGACCUUUGACCCCUCAGGCGGCACUGCAUCAAAAACCCUCAUCAUUCUGUAAAGGAUUUUACCACGUGGGCUCAGGAAGACUUAAAAAACCAUUGUCAGUUAACACAGCAGGUCUUUACAUCUACAAGAUCAACUUUACCAUGCAAACCACAAAGACAGAUAUCAACAACAGCCAGAAACAACGCUGGCUUCUCUGGACCCGAGCUCAUCUGAGAUUGACUGAUGCAAAGUGGGAAAGUCUUAUGUGGUCUAAUGAGUCCACAUUUCAGAUAGUUUUUGGAAAUCAUGGACGUGGUGUUCUCUGGACUAAAGAGGGAAAGGACCAUCCAGACUGUUCUCAGGUCAAAAUUUAAAAACCAGCAUCUUACACAGUCAGUGUCCACAGUUCACAAAGGCUAAUUAAAUGUUAUUAAAGGAAAGGUGAUGAAAGACAGAGAGAAACAUGACCCUGAACCAGCUUUCUAUGAACGUUCUGCAGACAUCAAACUCGGUAUGAGUGAAUAUUUACAGAAAAACAAUCAAGUUUGUCAGUUUGAACAUUCAAUAUCUUUGUAGUGUAUUUAUUUUCAUAUAGGUGAAAAAGGAUUUAGAAAUCAUUGCAUUCUGUAUUUAUUCAAAUUUUAAGCAACGUCCCAACUUCACGGGAAUUAGGGUUUGUAUUUUACUGGGUAGAGAUUCACACAUUUUAUGUAACAUAUUAAGCAGACUGUUAAGUUAUUAAUAGACCUAAACAAGUGACUGAUUAUUCAUGCAUCAUUAAUUAUCUGCCUUAACUUUUUUGUUACCUUCUAAGAUUAUAUUUGAUAAGAUACAACUUUAUUUAUCUUUUUGGGAAGGUUUCCUUAAGGAAAUUAAAAAACUAAUAAAUUGCAUAUUAUCCGAACCUUUGACUUCCAUUAAAUUCAAUUUCCUGUAAUUUCCUCUGUUUUUGCGAUUUGACUGCCGGCUCAUAGACCAACAAUUUGAGAUCUGAAUGAUCUGGAUCACUGAAAAGAGGCUGAAUUCCCUUCACCAGGUGUAUCUACAUGAAGGCUGUGUCAAACAGGAAGGACCCUACUUUCUAUUAUAAAAGAUAACAGACAAUUCAAGCAACAGCACACAGCCUUUGAAGAUUUAAAGUAACCUGAGGAUCUUUAUCAAUAGAAUGUGUUUGGAUCAAAUCAUUUCUAUUUACUGAACAGGUGACAUGAGACAGCCUAAAACAAAAGUGACUUUCAAGUUGAAAUUCUCUGACUCAGGUAAAUACAUGGAUUUUGAGAAUAUUUUCUAACAUCAUUAAAUAUGUUGUCAUAAUGUUUCCCUUAUUGACAGAAUUACUUAGUGUUUGGUCUGAACAUGAACUCAAAGCAGCAUCAAAUGUCUGAUGCAGCUUUAUUUGCAAUGGUGUACAUGAAGUUGUUUGGGUGAAGUCUGACACUGAGUUCAUCAAUAGGUGUGACUAAAUGACUCAGUGGUGCCUCCUGUAGAGUUUUCAUAUUCCAGCCCCUGUAGUUUGUUUAACCCAGAAAUAUAAACCAUGUGCAUCAUAAUUGCCAUGCCGAGAUCUCUUCACUGGAGCAUAGGAUCACUGAAGUCUGUUAUUUUAACCCGUGGGUGAAAAACUGGCAAAAAGAGGUAGGCCUGUUUAUAAGGGACCCCAUAGAUGAACUUCUCUGAGGGGUGAAUUUCAUCCACUUCAAAUUUGAUAUUUGUGGUGGGAAAACAACUCACAAAGAUGAGAAGUUUUCAAAAAUAUUUAGUGAGCUCAAAGGACGCAACUGUUAUGAUUUGGCUGAAUUGGGGUGUAAAAAAAUGUAGAGUUUUAGUCCUUUUUGAGGGUCACACUUGGAUUAACUCAUAGGCCAUUUAUCUGACUCACUUCAAAUUUGGCCAGGAGCUUGAGAAGACCAGAACAGAGACCACUUCUUCUGCUUGAGUUCAAAACCAAAGGAACAUGGCUCUGGUGACUUGUCAGAUUGACUUGUCAUGAAACAGUAACUUGCUGUAAAUCAAACAAACAGAGUCCCAACUGCCUCAAACUUUUUUAUAUUAGAUAAAAAGCUCUUUUUGAAAAUGUCAGAAUACACUUUUGAAGAAUCCAUCCACUCUCAGCUAUUUUUGAUAAGUCUUGGUCAAAUUGUUUCUUUAUGCUUUUCCAAAAGAUCUUCUGCUUUUCCAGAAGAUAUUGAGCUAUUUUUGACUACUCUUUGCUGAUAUAUUCAAAACAGUGACAUCCAACCCGGGGGCUGUGCCACAUCCUGCACACACCACACUACAGGGCAGCCAUGGCUAGGUUGUGGAGUUGGUUGUUUCUCAGUUGGUAGGGAUAGUAGUUUGUAGCACUGGUUUAUAGCAGAACCAAACCAUUGUCUUAACUUAGCUAACCAGCUCCCAUCAAAGAUGACUUACUGAGUGCCAUAGUGUUUAUUGCAUAAGAACCUUACGAGAUGGUGGUUACAUAAUGACUCACAUCUUCAAUCAGCAUAUACAUUACUUGAAAGAAUAAACCUGUUAAAACCCUGUUACAUAACUUAACACCUUAAGUGCCCAUAAAUAGUGGAAAUGCUAGAAGCACAGCCAGCCUCUUCUCCAAAGCUGUUGAGCGCAUUGUGUUCAGUGACAAAGCCAAGCUUCGUUUUGCAUUUAUCACACGUCUGUUCAGUCUUUAUCUGCAUAUCUUCAAGAUGGGCUUGUAUACUGUUUGUACGUUUCCACAAGUGCAGCCUAAACACCUCAAAUAAAUCAACCUCCAAAUAACACUUUUCAGUUCCUUCCUGCUAACUACUACUAACUGUGUGGGAGGUUUUAAUGAAACCUGUGUCAUUCUGCCUUAUGGAGCUGCAAAGCCCAUGUAAGUGUUUGCCUCCAUUAGUUUGGCUUUCACUGGGGUGUUUAAGUGUCCUUUGAUGGCCCUGAAGCUUUUUUGGUGUUUUUUGUUGCAAUGCCUGUGCUCUCUUAGAUUUUACGGGAGCUGUUAGAAUAUAAAUAGCCAGGUGAAAUAUGUUGUAUGUCACCAUAAAAAAACCUGGCAGCAUCACUCUGAAAAUUGACAUGAGUAAGGCAUCUAAAAGCAUUUUUCUGUAAGACCCUCAAAAGGUCUGUGCUGGUCAACGUAUUAGAGCAGAUUGCAGCGGCUUUGACUUUCACUCAUUGGUCCAACCAAACUACACCACGGCAGCAACAUUUGAAGGUGGGUUAACCAGUGAGAUAAUAGAGGUUGCUGCCACACUCAUGCAAACGCAUACACACAAAAGCCCACUUGUACACAACCACAGUUGUCACGUCUAGUAGAGUCGAGAGGAUAUGAAUCACUCUUUCAAUCGCAGUGACUCUCACAACUCAGCAGUCCUAAAAUUCAGAGGCAGACACGGAUAAUACCAGUCCAGUCUGAUGAGCCUCAAUGACAAUAAAAGCUGCCGUUUACACACUCACAGUCAUUGAACAGAGUAAGGGGGCACCUUCAACCAUUGAUAUUUAUGAUGGGCACAGUAACACACCAAACUGAUUGGAGAAGACAGGAAGUCGCUCAGGCAAACCCUCCUUUUGCUUUCUGCAGAAAAGAGGGCUUUUUUCAAACCUGUUAAAACUGUAUUGUGCCACUUGGCAUUUUCUGUUUCUAAAUCUGGUCAUUGGCCUGAGGGUUUUCUGUAUUCCUAACACCUCUUUGUCCUUCAGGUCUUUGCAAAACUUCAAUUGGCUCCCGGACAUGGUCUCCCUUUCAAGCAAACAGGUCUAAUUGCUUAUUGGAGCCUUUCAUUGGAAUUAAGAGAGGUAAGUCUUCAUAUUUACGCCGACUGAAUACACAGUGCCAUCAUAUUGCAGACAAAGAGACUGCCUAACUUUUAAUCACAUUAUGUUUCAAACUAACCUUACCUUAAUUUUCAUUUCCACCUGAAAUGUCACCUAUGAAAGGUCACAUUUAAAUUUACACACUAGUGGGUUUAAAAUUUGUCUGCGCACCACUCUCCAAUGAUGAGACACAUAGAUGUGUAACCUUCAAUUAAAAAUGGACCCCAGACCUGCAAAAGUGCUGUGUGUGUGUGGAGCAGAAAUUCAAGAGAUGGAUAGUAUUUUCUUUCUGACUCAAAAUAAUGAGCAGGCUGCUUUUCAAUUUUGAAAAAGUGAGGAAAUUUCAUUUUGCUGAAGUGUUUUUCCAAUCUGUGUCAUUUUGCCAAAGCCGCCAAUAGAUUUCACUGGCUGGUGUUUGCUGUGGGAGCAGCUGUAUGACUGCACAAACAGACUGAUUUCCAAAAUCUCUUAAAUUUUUGUUCGUUCCUCCUGGAAUUCUCUGUCUGCCCAACAUCUGUUCAUUCACACAGUCAAACAACUCUGGGACAACUCAAUUUCACUGAGGUUAAAACAUUCCUCAAGUUAUCUGAGGUGUCAUGCUCACACACUGUGCUCUGCUGUGCUCUUAGAAAUGUGUUCAACAGCAAUCUGGUAUCUGUGUGUGAAAUAGGAAGAGUUACAACCAGCGGACAACUGGAUUAGCCUGGCACAGAGAAAGAAAAAGGAAGUAGCCCUGAUCCCGAGUAAGAUAUUUGCUUUUUAUGACCUUAUGCUUUCAGAAUUCACCAUGUCAAACCAGGGGAAAUGACGUGUUUAGUGUAUUUUGGUCAUGUUUGGGACCAGGGCUGCAUUAUAUUGGAAAAAACUAAUAUUGCAGUUUUUUUCAACCUUGCGAUAUACAGUAUAUUGCAAUUUUGAAAAAUACAUGAAUUUUCACCAGAUGACCUGAAUAGCACUUUAUGCUAUGCAGCACUGCUGAAAUCUUGAGGGCAAUUAAACUGCACUGAUCUUACCUCUUUUGGUGAAUGUUAGUAGAAUGGCUUCUGUGUGUCUUAGAGAUCUUCUUAGCUUACUUUCAUUAUGCAGGGACUAGUUAUCUCACGUUGUGGCAACGCAUAAAAGGCCGACAUCAUCCUCCUUAUAACAAAAUAAUUCCAGAUAACUGAGGUUGCUUUUCUUUUUGGCAACAAGUCUUCAUUUUUGGUGUUUUUUUUCCCUUGUUCAUUGCUCAUUUUGCAAUAGUUGGUGUUGUUACCGAUGUUGUGCCGAGAAACGCAUGUCCGCCAAGAAUUGCAUACACCUCGCAGAAACGCUUUUAGUAGAGUGAUCCACGGAAAUGUACAAUUUAAAACCCAUACAAUUCAUAUUUGUGUGGCUAAACAGUGAUGAAUAAUGUUCCAAAAAGUCAUUCACGGCAGCCAUAGGUUUCUCGGCACAACACCGGCAGCACCAGCGACUCACUCCAUGUGCAGGCCAUGUGCAGGGGCGUAGUUUCCUCCUACCUGUUUUCAAAUGACGGCUAGUCUGCUUGGCAACUGAGUAAAGAAGGAAUGUGAUUGGUGGAUCGCUUCACAGGACAUGCAGAGUCUACAUGCAGUGUAUCUUAGUCAGCUAACCUUGAAAUUAGAUGAGUUCAUUCGCCUCCUACAUCGCAGGCUCUGCAAUAUGACUACCACGCAAAUGUACAUUGCGAUGAUGAUGCUCAAACGAUAUAUCAUGCAGCCCUUAUUGGCACCGUCUUUCAGAAAGGUGUAUUCUACAGGAGUUAUGCCCUUGCCUUUAGGUUGCCAGGUUACUCAAUCUAAUUUUUCCUGAGAGCCAAAAUGAUUUUUUCCUCAAGUUGUUCCUUUAAAGCCGAGGACAAUAUGCUUUAAGAAAGCCAGACUAGGUUUUUAUUGUCAUAUCUGCGUGUUUUGUCCCUCACCAUACUGCUCUGUUUACAGACGGCAUCAGAUGGCACUGUCUCAGCCUGGCUUCAAAUCUCUAAAGAGGACUCCGCUCAUCUUGUCCCAUUGCCCAUCCUCUGUGUGCAUGGAUCUGUAAACAGAGGAUGGAUAAUGGCAAAAUUGCACCAAAAUCUUUCUCUCUGUCCAAUUACAUUUAAAUCAUGUGCUAUCAAAUAAUGGGGGCUGAGAUAAUGUCUGGUGAGAAGCAGACCCAGGGGCUGGCAGGUAAUUUGUUUGCUUUGUUCAGCUGAAGCAUCCUCCUUUUCUGAUGCUGAGAACAUUCUUCACUGGGAUACUUCUUUUCACUUGAAUUAAAAGCCGCCCUACAAAGGAUGUGGAUCAUUUUCAUCUCAACAACAUACCUAAAUGAUUUCAGGGUGGAUUUCAUGGUUAAUUAAAAUUUUAAGAAUCAGAGAAGCCUUCUGAUCAAAAAAAUACCUCACCAUAUUUUUCAAUUGGGAUGAUGUUUCCUUUGAUUUUCCAUUUUUUUGAUCUGACAUCAAAGCUUCAGUCGAGUGACAAGAUUUUUCUUUCACCCAGUCUGUUACUUGAGUCUUUUAUAUUUAAAGAAAUUCAAUUUAAAAGACUUACCCUAACCAAAGCCCUGGAGGAACCCUUCUUUGUGGAGAGCAACCCAUUCAGCUAGUCUGUGGUGCUCUCCAGUAAGUGGACAUUCAGUCGUAUUCGUCCAAUCCCCUGAUCAGCCAAAUCAGGAGUGGCAGCUGCACUCAGCUUUCAUCACAUGCAUAAUUAUUGAGGGAUGGCUGCUGGGUUUGGGAAAUAAUUGGUUUUAGAAUAACACUGGUAUAACCUAUGGCCCAGGGACAGAAUGAGUUGAGAUGUGAAUGCAAAUGUCUGAAUACCUUGUUGCAGAAAGCGGGGAAGGUGUCACUGCCACAGCGCAUUCAUCAAUUAUUGGUAUUAUCAUUAAGUCUCUCAAUAUGUUCCCUAACAAUGUCGUACAAAAAAAUCAAUGUAAUAAUAGCAGGGAAGCAUGUAGUCAUUCCCUAAUUCACUGAGAGGUUUUCAUGUGUUGCAUUAUGAGUAAAUCAAUGACCAAUGUCAAUAUAUUGACGUGUGUCACCCCAAACUGAUUACUGAUCUACAGGGAAUUCAUGGGAUCUACUUUCAGGUAGACAUCAGAGUUUGCAUUAAUCAGCAGUGAAGGUAUACAGAUUUAAUUCUAUGCAGAUCUGAUUUACAAUUACAGUGAUGAGUUUCAAUAGGGGGAAUUCUGUCUCAUGAGUAACCAGAUUCAUCUCACUCUGCCUAAAAACAUGUCUGUGAUUCAUAACAGGAUUUGCAUUGUGCAGCUGCAGAGUGGGUGGUCAAGCCUCCUUUCAUUGUUUAUUACAAAAGAACUAUGGUUCAGGAUUGUCAUAGUUUUGUAACUAUCAUGUCUCAGCAGAAGUGCUGGUUUUUGAGGGUUCAGUAGGCAUGUAGGUGUAGCUGUGUGUUUAUGGGGGUGCAUAAGAGUGAAGCAGUUGGACCCACACACAGGUUAAAAUAACUCCACUGGUUAUAUUUGCUACAUUGAGCUCCAGAAAACCACAUUUUCAUCCACUUUGCUCCCUCAGCGUCUUUACAUUGUGUUCUGUUUGGUUAAUUAGUGUUGAGCUCAUUCUAUUCUCUCAGAAUUAAUUAAAAUGUGUUUCAAACAUCGAAUAUUACAGACAUACACACAGAGAGGGGUCAAGGCAAAUGAAGAGUGUGUUUCAUGCUUUUAUACACUCAGUAUUUACUUACACAAGUGGGCAAUAUUUGACACAAAACUCAGAGAAAUGUUAAAGUAAUGAAAACGUGCUGCUCUGAUCUGUGAAAUCCUCAGAUACAAUAUGCUUUUCUUCUCAGAUAACAUUUGAAGCCAUGGACAGAAGGAUCUCAUGGUCAUAGUUGUGGAAGGCUGAACCGCUCCGCAUAAAAUUCCUCAUCCAGUCUGUCUAUGAUGUCCUGCCCAGCCCGUCAAACCUCUUCCUUUGGGGCAAGGCUGAAGCCCCAUCAUGUACCUUGUGCCAGGGAAGGGGAACACUAGAGCACAUCCUCAGCAGCUGUCCGAAGGCACUUGGAGAUGGCCGCUAUCGCUGGCGCCACGACCAGGUGCUGAAGGGAGUUGCUGAGUCCAUCCACUCUGGCAUUGACUACAGCAAGCACCUGCAACCACUGUGGCACAGAACAGCAUUUGUGAGGGCAGAGGAAAAACCUCCUCCCCAACCAAAGACCCAAACAGGACUCCUGGGAACAGCAAAGGACUGGCAGCUGAGGGUGGACUUAGGAAAACAGCUUCAGUUCCCUGAGAACAUCAUGGAAACCAGUCUGAGACCAGACAUUUUCCUACAAUCAGAGUCUUCCAAGCAGGUCAUCAUGUUGGAGCUGACGGUGCCCUGGGAGGAGAGGAUGGAGGAAGCCAGUGGGAGGAAGGGGGAGAAGUACGCCGAGCUGGUGGAGGACUGCCGCAACAGGGGGUGGCGUGCAAGAUGCCUGCCCAUUGAGGUCGGGGGAAGGGGCUUUGCAGGGAAGUCACUCUGCAGGGCCUACAGUCUCCUAGGCAUCACAGGGGCUGUGGAUUCAGAGGGACAAGGCGUGGAUGAACGCUUCUUGGACACAGGCCGGGAACUGAUCACUCCCGGUCAGGUCGCCUGGGUGAGGGGGUCUGAAGUUGAAAGACCCGAAACCCCCCCAUGACCCCAGGUACUAUCACUGAUGAUGUGUCCAAGAUUCUGCAUCGCAAGAUGUAUCGAACAACUGAUCAAUUAUGCAGUAUGAGUUUAGGGUCAAAAGCACAGUGUAUAUAAUCAUUAUUAUCUACUUUUGCUUUCUUGUCAAUUUAUUCUGAUCGAGAUAAAAACUGUGUCACCUUAACUAGGUUUAAGGCAGACAAGAAUCCACAAUAGAAGAGAAUCCACAAAUCAGGUUUACAUAGCACCUUUUUUGAUAGAUUGGAGGAGAUUGUUUGAGCCCCACCAUCUUCAUUUUAAGGAUCAAAGUCAUUUGCUAGAGAUCGGUGAACAUAAUGUCUGCAUUGUAAAAGAACUCCAAUGUAAAGAUGGGAUUAAAAAUAACCAUAUCUGGAUCUUAAUUGCUAAAGAGUUGCACAUCUUUUGAAUCUGCUCACAUACUUAAGUACUUUUAGUGUUCAAUGCACCAGAAAGCGCAGAGAUAGCACCUCUCUGUCCCUGUUGUUCUAUUUUAAUGAGUCAUUGUGGAUUUUACAUUUAUUUAGAGCAAAUUAUGCAUUUUUCUAUGCAAACAUGCCUCAUUGCCAAAAAUACCUCAUUGACUAACACUGGCGUUAGGUGCACCACACAGUUAUAGUGAAAUCUUUAUUUUCAGCAAGCUCAGUCAGAGAUGGCGACAACAAUUCUAAGAAUAUUGCUGCACAUAAAGUCUGUUAACAGUACUUUUUAUAUUUUUAUAAUAAUCCGGGGUUCAGUCAGUCUGGCCAGUUCGCUGGCUCACUUUACAAUUCUUUUCACUUGCAUGCUUGAUGAAGUAAGCCGGGUGUAAACUCUGAAAUCUGUCUACCAAUCAUUAAUGAACCCCUUUGGUAAAACUGACAACUUUCUUCAUUCAACUCAUCAAAGACAUAGAAAAAAUUAGGAUGAGAGCACCCAAAGCAGCUCUGCAUAGCAUGAGCACUGAGAUGCUUACAGCUCCUCUCGGUCACAAUAAAACGCGAAACUGGAGCAGACUGCACAGAGCUGGAGGACUUUGUGCUUGACUAUCAUUGGCGCUAUUUGCUUUUAGACCCUGAAUUAGACACCAUUAUUCAACAGCACAUAAGUAAACAUGUGUCUGUAGUGAUCAUUUGAGUUUUUGCCUGUCUGUUACACCAAAGAUAGAGCUUUUAGCUGUCUUUAUGUCUUUUUCUAUUUUAUAUAAUGAGGCUCCCUUAUUUGUAUGUAUGGGUCAUUGUUACUGUUACUUUAAAACCCCAGUGUGUCUCAGUAGUAUAUGUGUAUAGGUAUGUUAUUCCUUUUCACAUUGUACAUUGGAAGUAAUUUGUGUGUCAGUGUUUGUACUUAAGUAUAAAACAGUAUCUGAGUCCUAAUUUAGGGGUAGACUUUUUUUGUACGACCCAGGCUAUGUAGCCCAGCUGGAUCACUGAACUGAAAUGGAC
RNAcentral lists this long non-coding RNA (26659 nucleotides) under Xyrichtys novacula (pearly razorfish). The record is from RNAcentral. Lineage: Eukaryota; Metazoa; Chordata; Actinopteri; Labriformes; Labridae.